CCCUUAGAUGUUUGGGGCCGCACGCGCGCUACACUGAAGGAAUCAGCACGUCUUUCUCCUUGUCCGAAAGGACUGGGUAACCCGCUGAACCUCCUUCGUGCUAGGGAUUGGGGCUUGUAAUUCUUCCCCAUGAACGAGGAAUUCCCAGUAAGCGCGAGUCAUAAGCUCGCGUUGAUUACGUCCCUGCCCUUUGUACACACCGCCCGUCGCUACUACCGAUUGGAUGGUUUAGUGAGAUCCUCGGAUUGGUCCCGGCGCGGCCUCUGGUCGUGCCGGAGUGCCGAAAAGAAUGUCGAACUUGAUCAUCUAGAGGAAGUAAAAGUCGUAACA
RNAcentral lists this ribosomal RNA (330 nucleotides) under uncultured eukaryote. RNAcentral's name for it is "partial 18S ribosomal RNA". It matches the Rfam family "Eukaryotic small subunit ribosomal RNA", at positions 1470 to 1796 of the family's 1831-position model. The record is from RNAcentral.